RNAcentral lists this long non-coding RNA (1185 nucleotides) under Salmo salar (Atlantic salmon). RNAcentral describes it as "lncRNA (ENSSSAG00000107455.1)". Lineage: Eukaryota; Metazoa; Chordata; Actinopteri; Salmoniformes; Salmonidae. The record is from RNAcentral.
GGAGGAAGAGGUUGGGACAGCGGAUGGGGUUGGGACUGUGGAGGAAGAGGUUGGGACAGCGUAUGGGGUGUGGACUGUGGAGGAAGAGGUUGGGACAGCGGAUGGGGUGUGGACUGUGGAGGAAGAGGUUGGGACAGCGGAUGGGGUGUGGACUGUGGAGGAAGAGGUUGGGACAGCGGAUGGGGUUGGGACUGUGGAGGAAGAGGUUGGGACAGCGGAUGGGGUUGGGACUGUGGAGGAAGAGGUUGGGACAGCGUAUGGGGUGUGGACUGUGGAGGAAGAGGUUGGGACAGCGGAUGGGGUUGGGACUGUGGAGGAAGAGGUUGGGACAGCGGAUGGGGUUGGGACUGUGGAGGAAGAGGUUGGGACAGCGGAUGGGGUUGGGACUGUGGAGGAAGAGGUUGGGACAGCGGAUGGGGUUGGGACUGUGGAGGAAGAGGUUGGGACAGCGGAUGGGGUUGGGACUGUGGAGGAAGAGGUUGGGACAGCAUAUGGGGUGUGGACUGUGGAGGAAGAGGUUGGGACAGCGGAUGGGGUUGGGACUGUGGAGGAAGAGGUUGGGACAGCGGAUGGGGUGUGGACUGUGGAGGAAGAGGUUGGGACAGCGUAUGGGGUGUGGACUGGGGAGGAAGAGGUUGGGACAGCGGAUGGGGUGUGGACUGGGGAGGAAGAGGUUGGGACAGCGGAUGGGGUGUGGACUGUGGAGGAAGAGGUUGGGACAGCGGAUGGGGUUGGGACUGGGGAGGAAGAGGUUGGGACAGCGUAUGGGGUGUGGACUGGGGAGGAAGAGGUUGGGACAGCGGAUGGGGUUGGGACUGGGGAGGAAGAGGUUGGGACAGCGUAUGGGGUGUGGACUGUGGAGGAAGAGGUUGGGACAGCGGAUGGGGUUGGGACUGUGGAGGAAGAGGUUGGGACAGCGGAUGGGGUUGGGACUGUGGAGGAAGAGGUUGGGACAGCGGAUGGGGUGUGGACUGGGGAGGAAGAGGUUGGGACAGCGGAUGGGGUUGGGACUGUGGAGGAAGAGGUUGGGACAGCGGAUGGGGUGUGGACUGUGGAGGAAGAGGUUGGGACAGCGUAUGGGGUGUGGACUGGGGAGGAAGAGGUUGGGACAGCGGAUGGGGUGUGGACUGUGGAGGAAGAGGUUGGGACAGCGGAUGGGGUGUGGACUGUGGAGGAAGAGGUUGG